RNAcentral lists this ribosomal RNA (501 nucleotides) under uncultured bacterium. Its description in RNAcentral is "partial 16S ribosomal RNA". It matches the Rfam family "Bacterial small subunit ribosomal RNA", at positions 29 to 523 of the family's 1533-position model. The record is from RNAcentral.
AUUGAACGCUGGCGGCAUGCCUUACACAUGCAAGUCGAACGGCAGCACGGGUGCUUGCACCUGGUGGCGAGUGGCGAACGGGUGAGUAAUACAUCGGAACGUACCUUAUCGUGGGGGAUAACGCAGCGAAAGCUGUGCUAAUACCGCAUACGCCCUGAGGGGGAAAGCGGGGGAUCGAAAGACCUCGCGCGAUUAGAGCGGCCGAUGCCUGAUUAGCUUGUUGGUGGGGUAAAAGCCCACCAAGGCGACGAUCAGUAGCUGGUCUGAGAGGACGAUCAGCCACACUGGGACUAAGACACGGCCCAGACUCCUACGGGAGGCAGCAGUGGGGAAUUGUGGACAAGGGGGGCAACCCUGAGCCAGCAAUGCCGCAUGAGUGAAGAAGGCCUUCGGGUUGUAAAGCUCUUUUGUCAGGGAAGAGACACCGGCUCUAACACAGUCCGGGAAUGACGGUACCUGAAGAAUAAGCACCGGCUAACUACGUGCCAGCAGCCGCCGUAA